UCCAUGGCGGCGGCGGUCAUUG
This 22-nucleotide ribosomal RNA is filed under the name Musa balbisiana (Balbis banana). RNAcentral's name for it is "partial 18S ribosomal RNA". Lineage: Eukaryota; Viridiplantae; Streptophyta; Magnoliopsida; Zingiberales; Musaceae. The record is from RNAcentral.